CUACUCAAUAAAAUUGAGAAAGGAAAUGGUGAAUAUGUCAAAGCGACAACCACCCGACCAUAGAGCAAACAACAGCCGAAGGCAACCAAUGGGUCUUCAAUGUAGCGAGGAUUCCCGCACCCGUAGGUGUCCUUCAGCUGGCCCCUAAAAUAUGCAUAAUAGUACAGUGAUAAUGGACGUCAUACUAAACUCCGAAUUAUACACAAGAAACUAAAAUUUAAAAUCAUACAAGACUAACAAAGGCCAGAGGCUCCUGACUUGGGACAGGCGCAAAAUUGCGGCGGGGUUAAACAUGUUUAUGAGAUCUCAACCCUCCCCCUAUACCUCUAGCCAAUGUAGAAAAGUAAAAGAAUAACAAUACGCACAUUAAAAUUCAGUUCAAGAGAAGUCCGAGUCUGAUGUCAAAAGAUGUAACAAAAGAAAAUAAAUAAAAUGACAAUAAUACAUAAAUAACAACAGACUACUAGCAGUUAACUGACAAGCCAGCUCCAGACCUCAAUUAAACUGAUUGAAAGAUUAUGUCUUCAUCAUAUGAAUAUCAGGUACAAUCCCUCCCGUUAGGGGUUUAGUAUCAUACUAUCAUAAAAUAUAUGAGAAGAACAUAACCCGUGUCAUGCCAACAACUGUUUUUUUUAGAAAUAAAUGUGUUUAGUUUCGAUGCAAAGACCCUAUCAGUGAAUCAAUGUUAAAGCCAAAAUAUGCAAUCUUUAAUGACCUGACAACAGUAUCGUAACUAUAUCCCCUUUUAAUAAGUCUAUUUAAAGGUUUUGAAAGUUUCUGAGGAGAAUACUGACAUUUUUGUGCUUUAUAAAGAAUAUUUCCAUAAAAUUUUGGAUGUGAAAUACCUGAACGUAUAAGAUGUCUGCAUGUUGAGUUAUAUUUACGAAUUAUUUCCU
Molecule: long non-coding RNA, 896 nt
Filed under: Mytilus galloprovincialis (Mediterranean mussel)
Lineage: Eukaryota; Metazoa; Mollusca; Bivalvia; Mytilida; Mytilidae
Source: RNAcentral